UACGUAGGGUGCAAGCGUUAAUCGGAAUUACUGGGCGUAAAGCGUGCGCAGGCGGCUUUGCAAGACAGAUGUGAAAGCCCCGGGCUCAACCUGGGAACCGCGCUUGAGACUGGCACGCUAGAGUUCGGGAGAGGAUGGUGGAAUUCCCAGUGUAGAGGUGAAAUUCGUAGAUAUUGGGAAGAACACCGAUGGCGAAGGCAGCCAUCUGGACCGACACUGACGCUGAGGCGCGAAAGCGUGGGGAGCAAACAGG
This 253-nucleotide ribosomal RNA is filed under the name uncultured bacterium. Its description in RNAcentral is "partial 16S ribosomal RNA". It matches the Rfam family "Bacterial small subunit ribosomal RNA", at positions 524 to 776 of the family's 1533-position model. The record is from RNAcentral.